This 295-nucleotide long non-coding RNA is filed under the name Elaeis guineensis (African oil palm). RNAcentral describes it as "long non-coding RNA (EGUI_LNC066005)". The record is from RNAcentral. Lineage: Eukaryota; Viridiplantae; Streptophyta; Magnoliopsida; Arecales; Arecaceae.
AAAGAGACUUGACUAAGUUAUCACAUUAUGAAUGAUAAUUCCAAUAGUAGAUGAGCACCGGGCUUUUGGGCCUCCAAUGAUCAUCAUACUAAUGGACCCAUUAUCAUCCAACUUAAUGGGAGGCUAUGAUCCAGUUAUUAUCAUAACUAGCUCAUUUUAGAGAUCUAAUAAUUUAGAAGAUUUAAUUAAUUUUGGAGAAGAGAGAAGAAGAAAUCAAUUAGCAGACCACAUUCCUCUCACUGACUUCACCAAGUCACUGAAUUGGAUUUGGGUCAUGCUGAUUGAACUGGCAUCU